GAUGAGCGCUGGCGGCGUGCCUAAUACAUGCAAGUCGAGCGAACAGACGAGGAGCUUGCUCCUCUGACGUUAGCGGCGGACGGGUGAGUAACACGUGGAUAACCUACCUAUAAGACUGGGAUAACUUCGGGAAACCGGAGCUAAUACCGGAUAAUAUAUUGAACCGCAUGGUUCAAUAGUGAAAGACGGUUUUGCUGUCACUUAUCGAUGGAUCCGCGCCGCAUUAGCUAGUUGGUAAGGUAACGGCUUACCAAGGCAACGAUGCGUAGCCGACCGGAGAGAGUGAUCGGCCACACUGGAACUGAGACACGGUCCAGACUCCUACGGGAGGCAGCAGUAGGGAAUCUGCCGCAAUGGGCGAAAGCCUGACGGAGCAACGCCGCGUGAGUGAUGAAGGUCUUCGGAUCGUAAAACUCUGUUAUUAGGGAAGAACAAAUGUGGAAGUAACUAUGCACGUCUUGACGGUACCGAAUCAGAAAGCCACGGCUAACUACGUG
This 497-nucleotide ribosomal RNA is filed under the name uncultured bacterium. Its description in RNAcentral is "partial 16S ribosomal RNA". It matches the Rfam family "Bacterial small subunit ribosomal RNA", at positions 28 to 507 of the family's 1533-position model. The record is from RNAcentral.